UAGGGAAUCUUCGGCAAUGGGGGCAACCCUGACCGAGCAACGCCGCGUGAGUGAAGAAGGUUUUCGGAUCGUAAAGCUCUGUUGUAAGAGAAGAACGUGUGUGAGAGUGGAAAGUUCACACAGUGACGGUAACUUACCAGAAAGGGACGGCUAACUACGUGCCAGCAGCCGCGGUAAUACGUAGGUCCCGAGCGUUGUCCGGAUUUAUUGGGCGUAAAGCGAGCGCAGGCGGUUUAAUAAGUCUGAAGUUAAAGGCAGUGGCUUAACCAUUGUUCGCUUUGGAAACUGUUAAACUUGAGUGCAGAAGGGGAGAGUGGAAUUCCAUGUGGAGCGGUGAAAUGCGUAGAUAUAUGGGGGAAAACCGGUGGCGAAAGCGGCUCUCUGGUCUGUAACUGACGCUGAGGCUCGAAAGCGUGGGGAGCAAACAGG
RNAcentral lists this ribosomal RNA (429 nucleotides) under bacterium. Its description in RNAcentral is "partial 16S ribosomal RNA". It matches the Rfam family "Bacterial small subunit ribosomal RNA", at positions 355 to 776 of the family's 1533-position model. The record is from RNAcentral.